CCUACGGGGGGCUGCAGUGAGGAAUAUUGGUCAAUGGGCUUACGCCUGAACCAGCCAAGUCGCGUGAGGGAAGAAUGCCCUAUGGGUUGUAAACCUCUUUUGUCAGGGAGCAACGCCGGCUACGUGUAGCCGGACUGAGAGUACCUGAAGAAAAAGCAUCGGCUAACUCCGUGCCAGCAGCCGCGGUAAUACGGGGGAUGCGAGCGUUAUCCGGAUUUAUUGGGGUUAAGGGGUGCGUAGGCGGAAUGCCAAGUCAGCGGUAAAAGCGCGGGGCUAAACCUCGCUCCGCAGUUGAAACUGGGGUUCUAGAGUAGGCGAGGAGUAAGCGGAAUGCGUGGUGUAGCAGUGAAAUGCAUAGAUAUCGAGAAGAACUCCGGUGGCGAAGGCAGGAUACCGGAGCCCAACUGACGCUGAGGCACGAAGGCGUGGGUAUCGAACGGGAUUAGAUACCCGAGUAGUC
Molecule: ribosomal RNA, 460 nt
Filed under: uncultured bacterium
Lineage: Bacteria
Description: partial 16S ribosomal RNA
Rfam family: Bacterial small subunit ribosomal RNA
Source: RNAcentral